This is a long non-coding RNA of Melanotaenia boesemani (Boeseman's rainbowfish), 260 nucleotides long. RefSeq lists it as uncharacterized. Lineage: Eukaryota; Metazoa; Chordata; Actinopteri; Atheriniformes; Melanotaeniidae. The transcript is spliced from 3 exons. The record is from RefSeq and is a predicted model, not a curated record.
GGAAGAAAAAUCCACCUUCCUUCUAUACCGACCACCUCUGACAUCAAGAAUCUAAAUCCACCUUCAGCCUCCACCUUCUCGCACCACCCUUAAGAUCGAACCUCUUCCUGAAUCGUCUCCAUGGUAACAUCCUCUCUUCAGCUACAGUCUCCAUCAUCUUCCAUCUACCUUUGCACAUGAAGCUUCAACUUUAGCCUCCACCUUCUGGCAUCAACCUCCUGGGUCAUGGUCGGGGAUUGGAACUUAUCCCAGCAGCUACC